AUGCAUUAUCUCUUGAGAGCACAUUUAGAAACCAAAUGCAAUCUAAAUGGUGAUUAUCUAGGUGGACUCAAUCUAACCAUGGAAUCAGAAGGAGGAAAGCACAAGAAGGAUACCACAGAUCUUUGCUGGCUUUGAAGAUACAGUGGGCUAUAUCUUUAGCCUCUAGGAGCUGAGCACAGUCUGGGGCUGGUAAUCUAGCCAGAAAAUGGGGACCUCAGUCUCACAUCCACAAGGUACAGAAUUCUGCCAAUAACCAGAAUGAGCUUGUAAGUGAAUUCUUCCCAAAAGCCUUCAAAUAAGUGUUCAUCCCAGCCAACAUUUUCUUUUCGAUCUGGUGAGAUUCCGAUCAGAGAAUCCAAUGGAGCUCAACAUAAUGACUUACAGAUUUGUGAGCUAAUAAAUGGAUGUUGUUUUACAUUGAUAAGUAUAUGGUUAUUUGUUAUUUAGCAAUAGAAAAGUAAUGCAGUGUAUUAGGCUGCGAUGAAGAAAUACCUGAGACUGGGUAAUUUAUAAAGGAAAAGAGGUGUAAUUGACUCACAGUUCCACCUGUCCGGGAAGGCCUCUGGAAACUUAAAAGCAUGGCAUAAAACACCUCUUCACGGGGCAGCAGGAGAAAGAAUGAGCACAAGCAGGGUAAAUGCCAGACAUUUAUAAAACCAUCAGAUCUCAUGAGACUCACUCCUUACCACGAGAACAGCAUUGGGAAAAACACGCCCAUGAUUAAAUUAUCUCCACCUGGUCCCACUUUUGACACAUGGAGAUAAUUAAAAUUCAAGGUGAUAUUUGGGUGGGGACACAGAGCCAAACCAUAUAAUGCAUUAAGCAUUGAAAAUUAUUUAAAAAUCUUUAGUAGGAAUAACAACACAUACCAGUCAAUGAAGGAUCAGUUUACAAUCUUUGGUAUAAUCAAGGUAAGGUAAGAGUUCAGAUGAAAGGGAUUCUGAGCAUUUUUUCAUCUUCUAAUGUAAGCAACUGUGCCAUGUGUGUCUCAUGAUCAUCAUUUAAAGUCAGUCUGAAAUAAAUUUUGAUUGAAUUCCUUUGAUUAGAUGAAAAUAAAGUCCACAAAGCAAUGAUGGGUGAGAACAUAAAAUGGUGAAAUGUGUAAGAGCAUUAAGAGAGACAAUUUAUUUGCUUUGUGAAUAUUUUUUGUAUUUGGUAACUUGAGGUAAUCUAGGUAAAUCAAGUAAAAGGAAAUUUUUCUAUCAUUUUUUCCUUAAAAUAUUUCCAGUAUAGUUGUUCCUUUAAAACUCUUUGUAUGCCUCCAUAAAUCUGCUUCAUUUAAUCUUGAGGAUGUUUCUUUAAAAUAUAUGGCAAAUAUUCGCAUCCCCAAAGUUCCCCUAGCUUAAAUCGCAUGUAGAGAAAAUAGUACAAGUUCAGAAAUUCCGUAAAACAUUCUUUCUCUUUCUCUUUUAGUAAACAAACUUUGAAAGAUUAUUUCUAGGGAAUAAAUUUAUUCUCAUUUCCUUGCCCAAAUAAUAUUCUUCAACCAAAGUGGUUCUUAAAUAUCAAAACAAUUAAUCAGUAAGUACUGUCUCUUGCAGCUCUCACAAGACUCUCUUCGUAUAUUCAACAUCAUUAAUUGAACAUCUGUUAUGUUGAG
Long non-coding RNA from Papio anubis (olive baboon), 1600 nucleotides. NCBI's taxonomy places the organism in Eukaryota, Metazoa, Chordata, Mammalia, Primates, Cercopithecidae. The record is from Ensembl.